AAAAAUUUUAACAUAUUGCCACAGCCUAACGCCGCUGUAUAUAUUCCAAGAACGAAAGCUAUAUUGUGUCUCCCACUUCACCAAACGCUUCGACUUCUACUUGGCUUGUGAGAAGUGGAAAAACAGAAAAGUCAUGGCAUCUAUCACCCACAUUCUUAUGCUUGCUGUUCUUAUUUUGGCAAUGAUGCUCCAUGCUACAAAUCAAGUGCAUGGCGCCUUCCGGCUUCCGCGUGCUGCAUCUGACGCUACUGGAUCGCGUUCGCAUGAUCGCUCGGAUGAUGCGCAAG
Dermacentor albipictus is the source of this 287-nucleotide non-coding RNA. NCBI's taxonomy places the organism in Eukaryota, Metazoa, Arthropoda, Arachnida, Ixodida, Ixodidae. The record is from RefSeq and is a predicted model, not a curated record.